RNAcentral lists this ribosomal RNA (282 nucleotides) under uncultured Staphylococcus sp. RNAcentral describes it as "partial 16S ribosomal RNA". It matches the Rfam family "Bacterial small subunit ribosomal RNA", at positions 81 to 354 of the family's 1533-position model. The record is from RNAcentral. Lineage: Bacteria; Bacillati; Bacillota; Bacilli; Caryophanales; Staphylococcaceae.
CUUCUCUGAUGUUAGCGGCGGACGGGUGAGUAACACGUGGGUAACCUACCUAUAAGACUGGGAUAACUCCGGGAAACCGGGGCUAAUACCGGAUAAUAUUUUGAACCGCAUGGUUCAAUAGUGAAAGACGGUUUCGGCUGUCACUUAUAGAUGGACCCGCGCCGUAUUAGCUAGUUGGUAAGGUAACGGCUUACCAAGGCGACGAUACGUAGCCGACCUGAGAGGGUGAUCGGCCACACUGGAACUGAGACACGGUCCAGACUCCUACGGGAGGCAGCAGAA